Molecule: ribosomal RNA, 523 nt
Filed under: Limatula simillima
Lineage: Eukaryota; Metazoa; Mollusca; Bivalvia; Limoida; Limidae
Description: partial 16S ribosomal RNA
Rfam family: Bacterial large subunit ribosomal RNA
Source: RNAcentral
GGUCGGGUCUGCCCGGUGGGGUGCGCCCUUAACGGCCGCAGUAAAUGGUGACUAAAGUACCUUAAUUUACUUGCCCUUUAAUGGUGGAGCUAUGAGAAUGAUACAACGAGAGCUACUCUGUCUCGGUGGUAGUGAUAUGAAAAUAUAGUGUUGGUGAAAAUACCAAUAUAGCGUAGAGGGACGAGAAGACCCCGUGGAGCUUUAGGGUUAGCUUAAUUUAGGAGCAGGAGGGAUAGGGGUAUUACACCCCCAUGACUCUUAAGAUAGCUUUAUAGGUUGGGUAGGCCUUUCGGCUGGGGCAGCCGGGUAGGAAAGGUAUACUGCUUGUGGCGGUGUAGGAUAACUUGCUAUAACGAUCCACCAUAGAGUGUGAUAGUCGGAAUCAGUUACCCCGGGGGUAACAGGCUAAUUACGCUUUUAAGAGACGUUAUCGGAAGGCGUGAUUGGCACCUCGAUGUUGCCUUAGGAUGGCCUGGGGAUCGCAGGAGAUCCCGAGGUUGGUCUGUCGCNCCCAUAAAAANCC